RNAcentral lists this ribosomal RNA (467 nucleotides) under uncultured bacterium. RNAcentral describes it as "bacterial SSU rRNA". It matches the Rfam family "Bacterial small subunit ribosomal RNA", at positions 28 to 477 of the family's 1533-position model. The record is from RNAcentral.
GACGAACGCUGGCGGCGUGCCUAAUACAUGCAAGUAGAACGCUGAAGACUUUAGCUUGCUAAAGUUGGAAGAGUUGCGAACGGGUGAGUAACGCGUAGGUAACCUGCCUACUAGCGGGGGAUAACUAUUGGAAACGAUAGCCAAUACCGCAUAACAGCAUUUAACCCAUGUUAGAUGCUUGAAAGGAGCAAUUGCUUCACUAGUAGAUGGACCUGCGUUGUAUUAGCUAGUUGGUGAGGUAACGGCUCACCAAGGCGACGAUACAUAGCCGACCUGAGAGGGUGAUCGGCCACACUGGGACUGAGACACGGCCCAGACUCCUACGGGAGGCAGCAGUAGGGAAUCUUCGGCAAUGGGGGCAACCCUGACCGAGCAACGCCGCGUGAGUGAAGAAGGUUUUCGGAUCGUAAAGCUCUGUUGUAAGAGAAGAACGUGUGUGAGAGUGGAAAGUUCACACAGUGACGGUA